AGUUCAAGCUUUUUAUUAGUCUGACCUUAACUCCCCUAUUUCCAGUACCAAGUGCAACUUUCCUCUGAAAAGCCAAAGGAAACAUUUCCAUGGAGCAUAUGGAGAAAAUCCUGCAUAGAUCUCCUUUAGCUUGUUUGCCUCUGAAGUGCACACAAGGAAACAUGUCAGGAAUUAAGUCGAAACAGUGUUUUUCAGGAAGUCUUCUGCCUUGUUGGAACCUUGUAGCGUGCUGAUGUGCACUUUUGAGAUCGUUGCUGGAGAAAGCCUUCCUGAAUUUGUGGGAAAACCUUGUCCACUGAAAAAACCCAAGGGUGAGUAAAAAAUAUUUUUUUCUGGAAGACCUUUGGCUAGUACAUGCCAAUAACUGA
Taeniopygia guttata (zebra finch) is the source of this 368-nucleotide long non-coding RNA. The record is from Ensembl. NCBI's taxonomy places the organism in Eukaryota, Metazoa, Chordata, Aves, Passeriformes, Estrildidae.